RNAcentral lists this long non-coding RNA (290 nucleotides) under Setaria italica (foxtail millet). Its description in RNAcentral is "long non-coding RNA (SITA_LNC000477)". Lineage: Eukaryota; Viridiplantae; Streptophyta; Magnoliopsida; Poales; Poaceae. The record is from RNAcentral.
UUUCUUUUUGGUUGUUAUGCUAAUUUGGUGCAACAAGUUCUACAUUUCCGCUCAAAACCACUAUUAGCAUUGUAGCACGCACUAGGUAUGGAACUUCUUUUGACUAGUAUUUACGUAGAUGCCGAUAAAUACAAACUAGCUUCGUUUUAAAAAAUAAAUACAUACUUGGCGGUUACAUGCAUGAGAGAUCACUUGGACGGAGCCAGGAAAAUGUCAGUGAAUAUGAACAUGGAAAUGCCAAUGCCCAAAACAUGCAUUGCGAUCUUCUCUCUCUCUCUCCCCAAGGGAAC